ACACCGACGCUGCAGCAUGCCGGCGCGACCUGCGCGCGUGGAACAGUGAGACGCACACACAUACACACGGGUGCACGAUCCCUGACGGUACCCUUCUCUCUCAUUGGCGCGGAAGCCCGUCCGUCUCACGCGCUUGUGAUUGUGCGACACAGCGGCGCUUCGCUGCGACGCUCGCACGCCUCUCCUCUUGCUGUUUUGCUGGGCCUCCUUCAGCGUGGCGGAUGCCGAGCACCGCUCUACCCUUCCCUCUUUCUGUCUUGGCGCCCACGUAGACUUGGCUUGCGUGCGGAGAAUUGCUGCGGAGGGACUCCAGUGGCGCCGCUGUCGUGCUCAUCGUGGCAGCCAGCGCGUGUCUUCUUGUCUGCGUGCGUGCUCAUCUGCUCUUGUCGACGUUGAUGUGGCUGUUGCAAGCACGGCUGUAUACAUAGCUUGCUGCAGACACUCUACGCAUCCCUUGCGGCACUCCCCAGAGCACUCGCUGGAUGUUUUCGAUACCGCCUCUGGUGCCGCUUCUCCUUUAGCCGUCGCUGGACCGUGGACUGGCUCGGGUUUCUUUGCUCGGGGGGGGUGGGGUGAGGGGUGCUGGGCGAUGGGUCUGUGGAACGAUUUCGUUGCCGGCACUGCUGGCGGGUGUGCAGGGGUGCUGAUCGAGCACCCAUUCGACACCAUCAAGGUGCUCCUGCAGACUUACGGGGGCACACGGUACACUGGCUACACGGACUGCGUCACUAAGCUGUUUCGACAAGAUGGUGUCAUAGGUUUCUACCGCGGCGUCACGGCACGCCUUUUCGCCUCCGGCUUCGAGCACGCGUGGGUGCUCGCGACGUACAAGUGGACGCUGCGCUUGAUCGGUGCGGGUGAUCGGCCCACUCUACCGCAGAUUCUACUGGGCGGGUGCGGCAGCGGCGUGGCAGCGACGUUGUGCUUGACACCGUUCGAAUUGGUGAAGUGUCGCCUGCAGGCCGAUGAUUCCAAGGGCCAGCGACGGUACCGCGGCUCGCUAGACUGUGCCCAGCAGGUUGUUCGUGAGCACGGCUUCAAAGGGUUAUACAAGGGCGGAUUUGCCAUGCUCUGCCGCGAGGUGCCCGGCUCGGUGGCGUGGUGCGGCACGUACGACACGCUGAAGAGCUGGAUGACACCAGAGGGCGUGCCGACGCAGAGCCUGCCGCUGUGGAAGCUGAUGAUCGCUGGUGGUUGCAGCGGCGUUGCCUUCUGGACAGCCUUCUACCCCUCUGACCUGGUCAAGACUCGCAUCCAAGUAGACCCUGCGUACGAAAAGCUGAGCCUCUGGGGGGCGAUGACGCGCGUGUAUCAGAAGGAAGGCCUGCGCGCCCUCUAUCGAGGCUGGACCCUCACGGCCGCCCGUUCCUUCCCUUCUAACGCAGUUAUCUUCGGCGUCUUUGAUAGCUGCAACCGCGCGCUGUCCCGUGAGUCCACACUGACGGCAGAUGUGCCAUCCACGUUGAGUGGGCAUGGCGGAGCCUUGUGAUGGCACUCCCGGCGCAGCUGGACGGUGUGUCGGCUCACUGCUUCGAUGUGGAUCUUCGUCUGUUUGACCUUUCUCCACCCCCACGAUGAUGACGAGGGGGGGGGGAGUGUCUAAGGGCGCGAUAUCACAGUGCUCAGCACACCCGCUCUGUGUGCGGAGAGGCCAGCCCCUCCCCCCUCCUAUAUCCCUGCCAGUGCCGAACCGCUUCUCUUGGUGACAGGGUGAAGUGGCGACGGCGUACGGGGAGGGGGGAGCUCCGUGCGCGGUGUCGCUGCCGCUGUCCGGUCGCGGGUGGAGUUGUGCGUCGCGGCGACCGGCGACAGUGUGAGCACGUGUGUGCCAUUUGUAUGUGGUGUGCAAGUCCGCCAUGCGCCUCGAGCGUAUCCCACCUGGCCGUCACACUGCCUACUGCUGGUGUGUGUGUGUGUGGGGGGGGUGGGGCUGCGCCACGCCGAGGGGGAUGCACGAGGUAGCGACCGGCAUGAUGGGGGAGCGUCUGCGCGGCGACCUGCGGAGCGGGUGGUGGGCCGGCAGAGCUCGAGGCAGAGGCCGUGCUCUCGGAUGAGAGGGUCGCUGCAUUGCUGUAGCGUGUGUGCCCAGGGCUGCCAUUACACGAGGCGGGGGGGCCUGUGACAGGCCCUCUGUGUGUGUGUGGGGGGGCGAGUGGCGCUGGAGCCAUGCCGCCAUGGCAGCUAGAUGGGCGCGACGCAGCACGGGCAGUGCUUCGUUUUCGCUAAUUGAUUUGGCGGAGGUUAGUAUGUUUGUGCUUGUGGGUGUCGCGCGUUUCUCUCGAUCGAAGUUGGCGAAAAUUAUCUCCCGUGUUGGUGAACGAGAGCCUCUUGCUGCCGCCAAAUCCGUGGCCGGUGCCGCCUCCUCGCAGAGCGCGACUGAGUGUGUUGCUGCCAGCACCGUCUAAAGGCGGGGUAGGAUGAUGGCUCUUGCGCACAGUCACCUGCACGUAUUCUGUUGUUUCCGUUGCGCUCUUUGUGAUUCGCCAAAGGCCUCCCUUUUCUU
This 2503-nucleotide unclassified non-coding RNA is filed under the name Leishmania donovani. RNAcentral describes it as "gene:LdHU3.16.0250(CDS-product:mitochondrial_orni thine_carrier_protein-like_protein)". The record is from RNAcentral. Lineage: Eukaryota; Euglenozoa; Kinetoplastea; Trypanosomatida; Trypanosomatidae.